GACAGAGGGUGCAAGCGUUGUCCGGAGUUACUGGGCGUAAAGGGCGCGGAGGCGGACUGCGGCGUCGGCGCUGAAAGCGCCCCGCUUAACGGGGCGAGGCGUGCCGAUACGCGCAGACUUGAGGCGAGCAGAGGGUGGUGGAAUUCCGGGUGGAGCGGUGAAAUGCGUAGAGAUCCGGAGGAACGCCAGUGGGGAAGCCGGCCACCUGGGCUCGUCCUGACGCUGCGGCGCGACAGCGUGGGGAGCAAACCGG
RNAcentral lists this ribosomal RNA (253 nucleotides) under uncultured bacterium. Its description in RNAcentral is "partial 16S ribosomal RNA". It matches the Rfam family "Bacterial small subunit ribosomal RNA", at positions 524 to 776 of the family's 1533-position model. The record is from RNAcentral.